AGAAUGAACGCUGGCGGCGUGCUUACACAUGCAAGUCGAACGAGAAAGUUCUCUUCGGAGAGCGAGUAGAGUGGCGCACGGGUGAGUAACACGUGGAUAAUCUACCUUUGAAUCUGGAAUAACCUUUCGAAAGAAAGGCUAAUACCGGAUAAGGUCAAGAUACCCCUGGGUGUUUUGAUGAAAGUCGGCCUCUGAUUCAAGCCGAUGUUUGAAGAUGAGUCCGCGCACCAUUAGCUAGUUGGUGAGGUAAAGGCUCACCAAGGCGACGAUGGUUAGCUGGUCUGAGAGGAUGAUCAGCCACACCGGAACUGGAACACGGUCCGGACUCCUACGGGAGGCAGCAGUGAGGAAUUUUGCGCAAUGGGGGAAACCCUGACGCAGCAACGCCGCGUGAGUGAAGAAGGCUUUCGGGUCGUAAAGCUCUGUCGGGUGGGAAGAACCCACCAAGUGUUAAGACCACUUGGUGCUGACGGUACCACCGAAGGAAGCACCGGCUAACUCCGUGCCAGCAGCCGCGGUAAUACGGGGGGUGCGAGCGUUAUUCGGAAUCAUUGGGCGUAAAGGGCGCGCAGGCGGUUUUGUAAGUCAGAUGUGAAAUCCCGGGGCUUAACCCCGGAAGUGCAUAUGAAACUAUGAGACUUGAGUAUGGGAGAGGGAAGCGGAAUUCCUGGUGUAGCGGUGAAAUGCGUAGAUAUCAGGAGGAACACCGGUGGCGAAGGCGGCUUCCUGGACCAAUACUGACGCUGAGGCGCGAAGGCGUGGGGAGCGAACAGGAUUAGAUACCCUGGUAGUCCACGCAGUAAACGUUGAUCACUAGGUGUAGCGGGUAUUGACCCCUGCUGUGCCGGAGUUAACGCAUUAAGUGAUCCGCCUGGGGAGUACGAUCGCAAGAUUAAAACUCAAAGGAAUUGACGGGGGCCCGCACAAGCGGUGGAGCAUGUGGUUUAAUUCGACGCAACGCGAAGAACCUUACCUGGACUUGACAUCUCGGGAAUUCCGUUGAAAGACGGGAGUGCCUUUAACGAGGAAUCCGAUGACAGGUGCUGCAUGGCCAUCGUCAGCUCGUGUCGUGAGAUGUUGGGUUAAGUCCCGCAACGAGCGCAACCCCUAUCUUCAGUUACCAUCAGGUAAAGCUGGGGACUUUGGAGAUACUGCCCCGGUUAACGGGGAGGAAGGUGGGGAUGACGUCAAGUCCUCAUGGCCUUUAUGUCCAGGGCUACACACGUGCUACAAUGGUAUGUACAAAGGGAAGCGAUCCCGCGAGGAGGAGCUAAUCCCAAAAAGCAUAUCAAAGUUCGGAUCGGAGUCUGCAACUCGACUCCGUGAAGUUGGAAUCGCUAGUAAUCGCGGAUCAGCAUGCCGCGGUGAUACGUUCCCGGGCAUUGUACACACCGCCCGUCACACCAUGAGAGUUGGCUGUACCAGAAGUCGUUGGGCUAACCCGCAAGGGGGGUAGGCGCCUAA
This 1464-nucleotide ribosomal RNA is filed under the name uncultured organism. RNAcentral describes it as "bacterial SSU rRNA". It matches the Rfam family "Bacterial small subunit ribosomal RNA". The record is from RNAcentral.